RNAcentral lists this ribosomal RNA (224 nucleotides) under uncultured bacterium. RNAcentral's name for it is "partial 16S ribosomal RNA". It matches the Rfam family "Bacterial small subunit ribosomal RNA", at positions 524 to 746 of the family's 1533-position model. The record is from RNAcentral.
UACGUAGGAGACGAGCGUUGUCCGGAGUUACUGGGCGUAAAGGGUGCGCAGGUGGCGGCGCGCGUGGGGGGUGAAAUCGCCCGGCUUAACUGGGCGGGGGCCUUCCAGACGGCGUGGCUUGAGCAGCGGAGGGGGACGUGGAAUUCCGGGUGGAGCGGUGAAAUGCGUAGAGAGUCCGGAGGAACACCGACGGCGCAGGCAGCGUCCUGGCCGCUUGCUGACAC